CCCCGGGCUGAACGGAGCUCUUUUUCUUUUUUGUAAAAAAAGAAAAAAGCGGGAGUGGAGCACGGAUAAAGGC
This 73-nucleotide unclassified non-coding RNA is filed under the name Epilithonimonas pallida. Its description in RNAcentral is "Flavo-1 RNA". Lineage: Bacteria; Pseudomonadati; Bacteroidota; Flavobacteriia; Flavobacteriales; Weeksellaceae. The record is from RNAcentral.